CGUAAGCGUACGCAGGCGGUUUGUUAAGCGAGAUGUGAAAGCCCCGGGCUCAACCUGGGAACUGCAUUUCGAACUGGCAAACUAGAGUAUGAUAGAGGGUGGUAGAAUUUCAGGUGUAGCGGUGAAAUGCGUAGGGAUCUGAAGGAAUACCGAUGGCGAAGGCAGCCACCUGGGUCAAUACUGACGCUCAUGUACGAAAGCGUGGGGAGCAAACGGGAUUAGGAUACCCCGGUAGUCCACGCCGUAAACGAUGUCUACUAGGAGCUGGGGUCUUCGGAGCAACUUUUCCAANGCUAACGCAUUAAGUAGACCGCCUGGGGAGUACGGCCGCAAGGUUAAGAACUCAAAUGAAUUGACGGGGGCCCGCACAAGCGGUGGAGCAUGUGGUUUAAUUCGAUGCAACGCGAAGAACCUUACCUACACUUGACAUACAGAGAACUUACCAGAGAUGGUUUGGUGCCUUCGGGAACUCUGAUACAGGUGCUGCAUGGCUGUCGUCAGCUCGUGUUGUGAGAUGUUGGGUUAAGUCCCGCAACGAGCGCAACCCCUAUCCUUAGUUGCCAGCGAUUCGGUCGGGAACUCUAAGGAGACUGCCGGUGAUAAACCGGAGGAAGGUGGGGACGACGUCAAGUCAUCAUGGCCCUUACGUGUAGGGCUACACACGUGCUACAAUGGCGCAUACAGAGUGCUGCAAGCUUGCGAGAGUUAGCGAAUCACUUA
Molecule: ribosomal RNA, 720 nt
Filed under: Pseudoalteromonas sp. MOLA 458
Lineage: Bacteria; Pseudomonadati; Pseudomonadota; Gammaproteobacteria; Alteromonadales; Pseudoalteromonadaceae
Description: bacterial SSU rRNA
Rfam family: Bacterial small subunit ribosomal RNA
Source: RNAcentral